This 31-nucleotide non-coding RNA is filed under the name Rattus norvegicus (Norway rat). Lineage: Eukaryota; Metazoa; Chordata; Mammalia; Rodentia; Muridae. The record is from RNAcentral.
UGUUAAGACCCAAUAUAACAAACUAAGUGAC